AUGAAAUUGAAGAACAUAACAUCAAAAUCUACCACUUACCUGAUGCAGAAUCAGAUGAAAAUGAAGAUUUUAAAGAGCAGACUAGACUUCUCAAGGCUAGCAUCCCGUCCAUUCAGAGAUUGGAUCAAACUGGUUGGAUCCAAUCAGUUGAUUGAAGCCAAAGGAAAGAAGGAUCUCCAGGAGGUGACCCAGGACCUUCAUUAUGAAAACCUCCGUUCUGAGAGACUCAAGAGAGGCGGCAGGAAAGUGGAGAAUGAGGACAUGAAUAAAGACCAGAUCUUGCUGGAAAAAGAAGCUGAGAAAACACUUUCCUGGAUAAAAAAGAAAACAUUCCAGAUGCAUGAUCCAGCUGUGUGUUUUCAAUUCUUGGGAGGGUGCCAUUCACAUUUUAACAGUACCUGUGCCUGAGAAUUUAAUUUUUAAAAGACUUUUGAUGUUUUUUGUAUGAAGUACUUUUAACAUAUGUAUUUCAUUGCUGUGUUAUACUCUGCAUUUUGUGAGGUGAAUGUUUUCCUUUUCUUUCCCCCUAACCACUGUUAGAAUUGAUUUCCAAGACUCGGCAUGUAUACUUAAUACUGAAUUUCUUUGAUUUAACUGACUUAAAAACUUACUAACCAUUGAUGAGCACUCCUGAUUUAUAUCUAGAACAUUCAGAUUUAGCCAUAAUGUUCCUGAAUGGUAGAGACGUGUGCCUAGUGAUGUAGAAAGAUGCACUGACUUGGUGCAAGGGCAUCUACUUACCACAUCACACCACUUGGAGACUCUUUGCUUCCUUGCUUUUAUGUUUGUACACAACACCUAAAAUCAGUUUUGCUGCUAUAAUUCUAUACUGUUGAAUCGUCUGCGAUUUUAUCUGUUAACCAAACAAAACAUAAUAGAAUUUCCUAAUGAGAUAUAUCUUUAAACAGCUUUUUUAGAGGUGAGUUUUAAAGAAGUCUCUUAAUUCUGAUGCUAGGUUGUUUUUAAAACCACUAUGCAAAGAACUCACCACAAGCCACUUUUUGUAGUGUUCUCCACUAAUACUGGUUAUCCUGUGCUACAGAGAAAAUCAAAGUAUUCAUGAGCUCCAGUUUUUGUAUUGCAAAUAAGAGAUUGCUCUUUCAAAUGGUAGUUCUGCUCCUAGCUCUUCGAGGAAUUGCCAUACUGCUUUCCACAGUGGUUGAACUAAUUUACACUUCCACCAACAGUGUAUUAAUGUUCCUUUUCUCAGCAACCUCACCAGCAUCUGUUGUUUUUUG
RNAcentral lists this long non-coding RNA (1238 nucleotides) under Pan troglodytes (chimpanzee). Its description in RNAcentral is "lncRNA (ENSPTRG00000053165.1)". The record is from RNAcentral. Lineage: Eukaryota; Metazoa; Chordata; Mammalia; Primates; Hominidae.